AACAAAGAAAAGAAAGAGGUAUGCAAUAUUAGAGUUCUUUCUUUGCUGCGAUUCUCUCUUUGCUUUGCUUUCUUUUUUUUUUCUUC
RNAcentral lists this non-coding RNA (86 nucleotides) under Palpitomonas bilix. The record is from RNAcentral.